RNAcentral lists this ribosomal RNA (502 nucleotides) under uncultured bacterium. RNAcentral describes it as "partial 16S ribosomal RNA". It matches the Rfam family "Bacterial small subunit ribosomal RNA", at positions 29 to 523 of the family's 1533-position model. The record is from RNAcentral.
AUUGAACGCUGGCGGCGUGCUCAACACAUGCAAGUCGAUCGGUAACAGGUGUAGCAGUACAUGCUGACGAGAGGCGGACGGGUGAGGAAUAUUUGGGAAUCUGCCCAUCAGCGGGGGACAACCCGGGGAAACCCGGGCUAAUACCGCAUACGCUCUACGGAGGAAAGCCGGGGACCGCAAGGCCUGGCACUGAUGGAUGAGCCCAAAUCGGAUUAGCUAGUUGGCGGGGUAACGGCCCACCAAGGCGACGAUCCGUAGCUGGUCUGAGAGGACGAUCAGCCACACCGGAACUGAGACACGGUCCGGACUCCUACGGGAGGCAGCAGUGGGGAAUAUUGGACAAUGGGGGAAACCCUGAUCCAGCGACGCCGCGUGGGUGAAGAAGGCCUGCGGGUUGUAAAGCCCUUUCGGUAGGGAUGAAAGCUCUUGCUCUAAUAAUGCAAGAGGUUGACUUAACCUACAUAAGAAGCACCGGCUAACUCUGUGCCAGCCGCCGCGGUAA